Molecule: non-coding RNA, 23 nt
Filed under: Gallus gallus (chicken)
Lineage: Eukaryota; Metazoa; Chordata; Aves; Galliformes; Phasianidae
Also listed under: 2 other names
Source: RNAcentral
GGGUUGGGAUUUGUUGCAUUACU